This 515-nucleotide ribosomal RNA is filed under the name uncultured bacterium. RNAcentral describes it as "partial 16S ribosomal RNA". It matches the Rfam family "Bacterial small subunit ribosomal RNA", at positions 28 to 523 of the family's 1533-position model. The record is from RNAcentral.
GAUGAACGCUGGCGGCGUGCCUAAUACAUGCAAGUCGAGCGAAUGGAUUAAGAGCUUGCUCUUAUGAAGUUAGCGGCGGACGGGUGAGUAACACGUGGGUAACCUGCCCAUAAGACUGGGAUAACUCCGGGAAACCGGGGCUAAUACCGGAUAACAUUUUGAACCGCAUGGUUCGAAAUUGAAAGGCGGCUUCGGCUGUCACUUAUGGAUGGACCCGCGUCGCAUUAGCUAGUUGGUGAGGUAACGGCUCACCAAGGCAACGAUGCGUAGCCGACAUGGGGGGGUGAACGGCCACACUGAGACUGAGACACGGCCCAGACUCCUACGGGAGACAGCAGUAGGGAAUCUUCCGCAAUGGACGAAAGUCUGACGGAGCAACGCCGCGUGAGUGAUGAAGGCUUUCGGGUCGUAAAACUCUGUUGUUAGGGAAGAACAAGUGCUAGUUGAAUAAGCUGGCACCUUGACGGUACCUAACCAGAAAGCCACGGCUAACUACGUGCCAGCCGCCGCCGUAA